CCUACGGGGGGCAGCAGUGAGGAAUAUUGGUCAAUGGGCGCGAGCCUGAACCAGCCAAGUCGCGUGAAGGAUGACUGCCCUACGGGUUGUAAACUUCUUUUAUAAAGGAAUAAAGUGAGGCACGUGUGCCUUUUUGUAUGUACCUUAUGAAUAAGGAUCGGCUAACUCCGUGCCAGCAGCCGCGGUAAUACGGAGGAUUCAAGCGUUAUCCGGAUUUAUUGGGUUUAAAGGGUGCGUAGGCGGGUUGUUAAGUCAGUGGUGAAAGUGUGAGGCUCAACGUUGAAAUUGCAAUUGAUACUGGCAGUCUUGAGUACAGUUGAGGUAGGCGGAAUGCGUGGUGUAGCGGUGAAAUGCUUAGAGAUCACGAAGAACUCCGAUUGCGAAGGCAGCUUACUAAGCUGCCACUGACAUUGAUGCUCGAAAGUGUGGGUAGCAAACAGGAUUAGAUACCCGGGUAGUC
RNAcentral lists this ribosomal RNA (460 nucleotides) under uncultured bacterium. Its description in RNAcentral is "partial 16S ribosomal RNA". It matches the Rfam family "Bacterial small subunit ribosomal RNA", at positions 338 to 795 of the family's 1533-position model. The record is from RNAcentral.